RNAcentral lists this ribosomal RNA (471 nucleotides) under uncultured organism. Its description in RNAcentral is "partial 16S ribosomal RNA". It matches the Rfam family "Bacterial small subunit ribosomal RNA", at positions 334 to 797 of the family's 1533-position model. The record is from RNAcentral.
ACCUCCUGCGGGAGGCAGCAGUGGGGAAUUUUGGACAAUGGGCGAAAGCCUGAUCCAGCAAUGCCGCGUGAGUGAAGAAGGCCUUCGGGUUGUAAAGCUCUUUUGUCAGGGAAGAAACGGUGAAAGCUAAUAUCUUUUGCUAAUGACGGUACCUGAAGAAUAAGCACCGGCUAACUACGUGCCAGCAGCCGCGGUAAUACGUAGGGUGCAAGCGUUAAUCGGAAUUACUGGGCGUAAAGCGUGCGCAGGCGGUUUUGUAAGUCUGAUGUGAAAUCCCCGGGCUCAACCUGGGAAUUGCAUUGGAGACUGCAAGGCUAGAAUCUGGCAGAGGGGGGUAGAAUUCCACGUGUAGCAGUGAAAUGCGUAGAUAUGUGGAGGAACACCGAUGGCGAAGGCAGCCCCCUGGGUCAAGAUUGACGCUCAUGCACGAAAGCGUGGGGAGCAAACAGGAUUAGAAACCCUUGUAGUCCC